CUCGCAUUCAAAUGCCCAUUACAAUAUCCUAAAUCUUUCCAACUCUACAAUCCCUCUUCUCAUCCUCACGCCAUUCUGAGAGGAUGAAGUUAUUGUCAUGGUUGGGUCUCCAUCCACACGCCUCUUCUCAUAGUUACCUCUCUCCACUUAAAUUCUUCACCUUCCUCUGAUUUUGAGCCUUUUUUAACGCUUGCACAAAAUUUAAUAGGCUUUGGGUCCUUUUGCCUUCAAGAUUGCAAGCAUAGUGAACAGAUUUCUCAUCUUGUACCGGACAGAUUAUAGAAGGGUUUGAAUUCAUUUUGCUAUAUUGAUGGACAUGUUGGAAUCCACAAGAAAAUAUUCGAAAAGGGCCAAAACGAAGCAAAGUAAAAGUUCAAGGAUCAAAGCGCAAAUAUCCAAAAGUUGAACUAAAAGACGAAUCGGGAAUGCAAAAGAGCUAAAGGGGGUGUAUUCAAUUGGGACUUUUGAAGACUUUUAUGGAUUUUUUUAAGUGAUGACUUUUGUGGAUUUAGUGGAUCUUUUAUACAUUUGUAUGGAAUUAGUGGAAGUCUUUUUUAGACUUCUAUGAAUUUUCAUUUUAAAACUUUUAUAGA
Olea europaea var. sylvestris is the source of this 593-nucleotide long non-coding RNA. RefSeq lists it as uncharacterized. The record is from RefSeq and is a predicted model, not a curated record. NCBI's taxonomy places the organism in Eukaryota, Viridiplantae, Streptophyta, Magnoliopsida, Lamiales, Oleaceae. The transcript is spliced from 3 exons.